GAAGGAAGGGGAAACGCCUUCAUGUCAGCAAUGAGGGUGACUCUAGUGACGGAACUAGUCUUGGGUCCCUGGGGCACCACUAGCCUCUCGGCAUCGGUGGUUUCUCCUUACUCUUCAGACGCUGCCAACUCCAUCCCCCAGGGAUUGUGAAGGGGGUUCCUUCUGGCUGUGACAGUGCUGAACGAGGCCAGAGAGUGCAGCUGCCUGGAGGCACAAGCCUCCUCCUGAUCCAGGGGGCUCCAGGGAGACCAAAGCAGCUGUCAAGAUGAGAGAAAUUGAAAAAGAAAAUGGAAAACUCUCCAGCCUGGCUCUCAGCUUCUGCAUCUCCAUGCAAGACCAGAGACCCACAUCACUCCCUCACUCCACCCAGUUCCACUCCAACAAUACCUGGGCCCUGCCAGGAGUGAGAAAACGGUCCUCUUCCUGUGGAUAGGUUGCUCUCUCCUCUUCCAGAUCAGGGUAUUCAUUGGUGCUGGGGAAUCCACAGCCCUCUUCGCCAAGCACCACUGGCUCAGAUGCAGCCCCAGAGCUGCCCCACUGGGCCUUCUUCAGUCUGUGGAGACUUUAGGCUGAGGAGAGAAGUGCCUGGAGGCCAGGCUUCCUGUCUCUCCAUUCUUCACCUUUCUGUUCUGAAAUACUUCCUGCUGGGACUCCAGGGAGUUGUCAUUUGACCUUUAACCCUCCACUCCCAAUUUUCUGCUCCCCUCAGACUGAAGCAUAUUGUCUAGGAACCCAGAGGUGACCCCAACCUCCCCACUGUCCUCCAGUUCUAUGGUUUGCUUUCCUGUCUUCAGUGAUCUAGUUUCCACUCCUUCCAGCUCAUGUGGCUCAUCCUCCUUACUGCAGUUCCCUCCUUCUUUCCAUAUUACAGAAAUCUGUUUCAAUCACACCAAAGCCCACAGCUUCCUUCCAAGCAACCUCCCCUCAAAGCUCCCCUCAAACCUCCCCUCAAAGCUGUCAACCCCUUCCUUAGCUCAAACUGUUCUGCCCCCAAAUCCUGCAUGACUCCCAGAACCCAGAUGUCUCCCUUCCUUACUCGUUGAUGAUGCUCUGACGCCUUCUUAGGUCCUCCAGGUGGUAAGUGACAGCCCUCACCCGGGCGGGGACUCCCCCAAGGCCCUGCUGCUGCAUUCCUUCCAAACAUGGCCUCCUCUUCUUUCUUCUCCAAAGCAUUUCAGGGGGUGGGAGCUGCUCAGGAGGAUACAGACCAAGCUGGGAGCAACCAGUGGCUCUCUGUGCCAGAGAAUGGGGAAAAAGAGCUAGAAAGAAGAACUGGCUCUCUCAAGGGAGCUUGGAUUGAACUAGGUAGGGAGUCUGGGGUCUUGGGAAGACCCCUGUGAUCUCGAAAACAUGAUGACUGAUUCAUAGAAAGGAAGGCCUGGUCAGUGCACUGGUUGGGGAAUAACAGAGGGAAGCGGUAAUAAGGAGAGCUUGGGACAGGACAGCAGUGGGUGCAAUUUUAACAGAGAAAUGUUAAACGGCAGAGGGUCUGUCUUACCAGCAUGGGUGGAAUGUGCUGCUCCUCCAGCCAAGUGGGGCUGUGAAGAACAAAAAGGGGGCUAUAAGUGCAGAGGGGACAUGUCCAUCCAUAUUGCUUCUUUAAUAAUCUCUCCCGACCUCCUUUCUGUCAUUAGGAGCUACAAUGUCCACCAGCCAGUGGGAAAUUAACCGCAGACUAGGGCCUAUUGCUAUAUGGGUUUAUGGUAGUUUAAUCCAGUUAAGACCACAUCCAGUUAGUUUCCAUUUUCUCCUCUACUCACGUGGGCCUUUGAUUAAGGUUCUUCCAGAAGACAUCUCCAUAACGCUGGGGCAUGGGUCUGAGGCUCUGGGAAGGCAACCUUGGGGGUGGAGAUCGGCUGACCACCCUGGAACACCUGAGGUGAGGACAAGGACUAAUAUCCUUGUAAAUAGGAGUGUGCAGAGCUGUUUGAGAACACUGCUCGUCACUUCCAAACCCCACAGGCUGAAUGAUGAUUGCCCUCCUGAUCUCUAAGAAAUGGAGUAUGUUAGGGCUUAGGCCUGGGGCCCUUUAUCUUCUCUGUCUUCAUCUCUUCUUAGGUGAUCUCACCCAGUACCAUGCUGUCAAUAAGCUGAUGACUCCCAAAUCUAUAUAUCCAGCCCUGGUUCCUCUCUGGGCUCCACUCAACAUCUCCUCCCCAACCUUCCUCCUCUCAAUGAAAAGCACUCAAAUGCCCAGUUGCUAAGACCAAAAACAUGGUAUGUCUCACUUUCCCUCACCUCCCACAUCUAAUCCAUCAGCAGUUCCUGUCAGUUUUACAUCUAAAAUACUGUGUACCUGAAUUUGACCACUCCUCAUCAUUCCCACUCCUACCACCAUAUAUUUCAGGUCAUCUUCCCCUUCCUGGACUGUUGCAAUGGUCUCUUCCCCCCGUCUCUGCUUCCAUUCCCAUCCCCCAACAAUAUAUUCUGCACAGAACUGUGAGAGAUGAUCAUACGAAAUAAUAUAAGGUUUGAGAUGUACUUCAAAAGAAUUUGAGAAAUAGGGGGCUAGAUGGGUAUAGAGAUGAAAAGAUUAUCCAUACAAUGAUAAUUAUUGAAGCUGACUGAAAAGGGUACAUGGGGUUCAUGAUACUAUUUUCUCUACUGUGUUUGUUUGAAAUUUUCCAUAAUAAAAAAAGUUGAAGGAAAAAAGGCUGGUCAUGUCACUCUCUGCCUUAAAACUUUUCCACUGAAUAAAAUCCAAACCGUUUUUUUUCUUCUUCUUUUUUGAGACAGUCUCACUCUGUCACCCAGGCUGGAGUGCAGUGACCCAAUUAUAGCUCACUGCAGCCUCAAAUUCCUGGGCUCAAGCAAUCCUCCUGCCUCAGCCUCCUGAGUGCUGGGACUACAGGCGUGUGCCACCAUGCCUGGCUAAUUCUUUUAAAUGUUUAUCAGAGAUGAGGUCUCACUAUGUUGCCCAGGUUGGUCUCCAAUUCCUGAGCUCAAGCAAUCCUCCCACCUUGGCCUCCCAAAGUGCUGUAAUUACAGGUGUGAGCCACCGCACCCGGCCUAUACUUGUUUUAUUUAUUUUUU
RNAcentral lists this long non-coding RNA (3033 nucleotides) under Homo sapiens (human). Its description in RNAcentral is "HSALNT0388159". Lineage: Eukaryota; Metazoa; Chordata; Mammalia; Primates; Hominidae. The record is from RNAcentral.